This 244-nucleotide long non-coding RNA is filed under the name Homo sapiens (human). RNAcentral's name for it is "HSALNT0175485". The record is from RNAcentral. Lineage: Eukaryota; Metazoa; Chordata; Mammalia; Primates; Hominidae.
CCGGCCUCAGAAACAGGAGAUGAAAGAUGACCAGGAUCAUUAUACCAACACUUACCACAUCUUCACCAAAGCUCCUGACAAAUUAGAGGAAGUCCUGUCAUACUCCAAUGUAAUCAGCUGGGAGCAAACUUUGCAGAUCCAAGGUAACUAGUCUGAGUUAAAAGAAAAAGAUCCAUGGUUUAUUCCUAGCCGAUAUGGAAGGCAUAAAGUGGUACUUGUCUUUCUCCUUUCUCCAGGUUGCCAA